UACGUAGGUGGCGAGCGUUAUCCGGAUUUAUUGGGCGUAAAGCGAGCGCAGGCGGUUUCUUAAGUCUGAUGUGAAAGCCUACGGCUUAACCGUAGAAGUGCAUUGGAAACUGGGGAACUUGAGUGCAGAAGAGGACAGUGGAAUUCCACAUGUAGCGGUGAAAUGCGUAGAGAUGUGGAGGAACACCAGUGGCGAAGGCGGCUUUCUGGUCUGCAACUGACGCUGAGGCGCGAAAGCAUGGGGAGCAAACA
RNAcentral lists this ribosomal RNA (251 nucleotides) under uncultured Rummeliibacillus sp. RNAcentral's name for it is "partial 16S ribosomal RNA". It matches the Rfam family "Bacterial small subunit ribosomal RNA", at positions 524 to 774 of the family's 1533-position model. The record is from RNAcentral. Lineage: Bacteria; Bacillati; Bacillota; Bacilli; Caryophanales; Caryophanaceae.